GCCGGGGUCGACUAACCCGGUAGGUCAACAGCCUAAGAUGCUGUAUUCCGAAAGGAAGUCUGGGUUCAAAUCCCCGCCCCGGCG
This 84-nucleotide transfer RNA is filed under the name Candidatus Woesearchaeota archaeon. RNAcentral's name for it is "tRNA-Leu". It matches the Rfam family "tRNA". From Rfam's summary of the family: Transfer RNA (tRNA) molecules are approximately 80 nucleotides in length. Their secondary structure includes four short double-helical elements and three loops (D, anti-codon, and T loops). Further hydrogen bonds mediate the characteristic L-shaped molecular structure. tRNAs have two regions of fundamental functional importance: the anti-codon, which is responsible for specific mRNA codon recognition, and the 3' end, to which the tRNAs corresponding amino acid is attached (by aminoacyl-tRNA synthetases). tRNAs cope with the degeneracy of the genetic code in two manners: having more than one tRNA (with a specific anti-codon) for a particular amino acid; and 'wobble' base-pairing, i.e. permitting non-standard base-pairing at the 3rd anti-codon position. Lineage: Archaea; Nanobdellati; Candidatus Woesearchaeota. The record is from RNAcentral. RNAcentral also lists the same sequence under 1 other name.